AACGAACGCUGGCGGCAUGCCUAACACAUGCAAGUCGAACGAGACCUUCGGGUCUAGUGGCGCACGGGUGCGUAACGCGUGGGAACCUGCCCUUAGGUUCGGAAUAACUCCCCGAAAGGGGUGCUAAUACCGGAUAAUGUCUUCGGACCAAAGAUUUAUCGCCUUUGGAUGGGUCCGCGUUGGAUUAGCUAGUUGGUAGGGUAAAAGCCUACCAAGGCGACGAUUCAUAGCUGGUCUGAGAGGAUGAUCAGCCACACUGGGACUGAGACACGGCCCAGACUCCUACGGGAGGCAGCAGUGGGGAAUAUUGGACAGUGGGCGAAAGCCUGAUCCAGCAAGGCCGAGUGAGUGAUGAAGGCCUUAGGGUUGUAAAGCUCAUUUACCCGGGAUGAUAAUGACAGUACCGGGAGAAUAAGCUCCGGCUAACUCCGUG
This 433-nucleotide ribosomal RNA is filed under the name uncultured bacterium. Its description in RNAcentral is "partial 16S ribosomal RNA". It matches the Rfam family "Bacterial small subunit ribosomal RNA", at positions 29 to 507 of the family's 1533-position model. The record is from RNAcentral.